UACGUAGGGUGCGAGCGUUGUCCGGAAUUAUUGGGCGUAAAGAGCUCGUAGGCGGUGUGUCACGUCGGCCGUGAAAACCUGCAGCUUAACUGUGGGCGUGCGGUCGAUACGGGCAUCACUGGAGUUCGGUAGGGGAGACUGGAAUUCCUGGUGUAGCGGUGAAAUGCGCAGAUAUCAGGAGGAACACCGGUGGCGAAGGCGGGUCUCUGGGCCGAUAUCGACGCUGAGGAGCGAAAGCGUGGGGAGCGAACAGG
This 254-nucleotide ribosomal RNA is filed under the name uncultured bacterium. RNAcentral's name for it is "partial 16S ribosomal RNA". It matches the Rfam family "Bacterial small subunit ribosomal RNA", at positions 524 to 776 of the family's 1533-position model. The record is from RNAcentral.